ACUGCAACCUCUGCCUCCCAGGCUCAAGCGAUUCUCAUGCCUCAGCCUCCCAAAGUAGCUGGGACUACAGGCGUGUGCCACCACACCUGGCUAUUUUUAUUUUUAUUUUUUUUGUAUUUUUAGUAGAGAUGGGGUUUUGCCUCGUUGCCCAGGCUGGUCUCAAACUCCUGAGCUCAGGCAAUCCACCCGCCUUGGCCUCCCAAAGUGCUAGAAUUACAGGCAUGAGCCACCGCUUUUUUUUUUUGAGACAGAGUUUUGCUCUGUUGCCCAGCCUGGAGUGCAGUGGUGCGAUCUAGGCUUUGAGCCUGCUCUCAGGCUCAUAGGCCAUUCUGAAGAGACAAACAUACAACUAGGCUGCUGUAGUAGAGUAGAUGUUGUUAGAAGUUUAUAACCCUGGCUGAGGAGGAAGUGAGCAACCCUGGCUGGGGUCUUCAGAAAAGAAUUCCCAAAGUCUGCUGAGAACAGAUCCAGUCCCUGAGGAAGGAGAAGAUGUUGCUGCCACGAUCAGUGCCACAGAGACCCUCUCGGAAGAGGAGCAGGAAGAGCUAAGAAGAGAACUUGCAAAGGUA
RNAcentral lists this small RNA (569 nucleotides) under Pongo abelii (Sumatran orangutan). Its description in RNAcentral is "processed transcript". Lineage: Eukaryota; Metazoa; Chordata; Mammalia; Primates; Hominidae. The record is from RNAcentral.